GCGAGUGAAGAGGGAUCAGCCCAAAUUUGUAAUCUGGCUCUUUCAGAGUCUGAGUUGUAAUUUUAAGAACUGUUUUCUGCUCUGGACCAUGUACAAGUCUGUUGAAAUGCAGCAUCAUUGAGGGUGAGAAUCCUGUUCAUGAUAUGGACUACCAGGGCUUUAUGAUACAGUCUCUAAGAGUCGAGUUGUUUGGGAAUGCAGCUCAAAGUGGGUGGUAAAUUCCAUCUAAGGCUAAAUAUUGGUGAGAGACCGAUAGCAAACAAGUACCGUGAGGGAAAGAUGAAAAGAACUUUGGAAAGAGAGUUAACAGUACGUGAAAUUGUUAAAAGGGAAACAGUUGAAGUUAGACUUGUUGUUGUUGGUUCAGCUCUUUAAGGGUGUUUUCUGAUGAUUAACAAACCAACAUCAAUCUUUGGGUGUUGGAUAAGGGUCAUUGAAAUGUAGCAGUUUUGGCUGUGUUAUAGUCUUUGACUUGGAUAUGAUGCCUGGGAUUGAGGAAUGCAGUAAGCCAUUUAUUUGGUGGGACAAUUUAUUGUUCUUCUUACUGAGGAUGUUGGUGCAAUAGCUUUAAUUGACCCGU
Molecule: ribosomal RNA, 580 nt
Filed under: Gymnosporangium sp. 2 PZ-2016
Lineage: Eukaryota; Fungi; Basidiomycota; Pucciniomycetes; Pucciniales; Gymnosporangiaceae
Description: LSU rRNA
Rfam family: Eukaryotic large subunit ribosomal RNA
Source: RNAcentral